AGCAGCCGCGGUAAUUCCAGCUCCAAUAGCGUAUAUUAAAGUUGUUGCAGUUAAAAAGCUCGUAGUUGAAUUUCGGGAUCAAUAUGUUGGUCGUGCCUUGGUACGUACUGGCAUUAUCGAUUCCUACCUUCUGAAGAACCUCGAUGUCAUUAAUUUGGUGUCUUGGGGAAUCAGGACUGUUACUUUGAAAAAUUAGAGUGUUUAAAGCAGGCUCGCGCUUGAAUACAUUAGCAUGGAAUAAUGAAAUAGGACGUUUGAUUCUAUUUUGUUGGUUUCUAGGAUCGACGUAAUGAUUAGUAGGGAUAGUUGGGGGCAUUAGUAUUCAAUUGUCAGAGGUGAAAUUCUUGGAUUUAUUGAAGACUAACUACUGCGAAAGCAUUUGCCAAGGAUGUUUUCAUUAAUCAAGAACGAAAGUUAGGGGAUCGAAGACGAUCAGAUACCGUCGUAGUCUUAACCAUAAACUAAUGCCGACUAGGGAUCGGAUGAUGUAAUUUUAAU
This 498-nucleotide ribosomal RNA is filed under the name uncultured Glomus. RNAcentral describes it as "SSU rRNA". It matches the Rfam family "Eukaryotic small subunit ribosomal RNA", at positions 569 to 1072 of the family's 1831-position model. The record is from RNAcentral. Lineage: Eukaryota; Fungi; Glomeromycota; Glomeromycetes; Glomerales; Glomeraceae.